Molecule: ribosomal RNA, 468 nt
Filed under: uncultured bacterium
Lineage: Bacteria
Description: partial 16S ribosomal RNA
Rfam family: Bacterial small subunit ribosomal RNA
Source: RNAcentral
GACGAACGCUGGCGGCGUGCUUAACACAUGCAAGUCGAACGGAAAGGCCCUGCUUUUGUGGGGUGCUCGAGUGGCGAACGGGUGAGUAACACGUGAGUAACCUGCCCUUGACUUUGGGAUAACUUCAGGAAACUGGGGCUAAUACCGGAUAGGAGCUCCUGCUGCAUGGUGGGGGUUGGAAAGUUUCGGCGGUUGGGGAUGGACUCGCGGCUUAUCAGCUUGUUGGUGGGGUAGUGGCUUACCAAGGCUGUGACGGGUAGCCGGCCUGAGAGGGUGACCGGCCACAUUGGGACUGAGGGACGGCCCAGACGCCAACGGGAGGCAGCAGUGGGGAAUAUUGCAGAGUGGGCGGAAGCCUGAUGCAGCAACGCCGCGUGCGGGAUGACGGCCUUCGGGUUGUAAACCGCUUUGGCCGGUGACGAAGCGGUAGUGACGGUAAUGGGUAAAGAAGCACCGGCUAACUACGUG